Molecule: ribosomal RNA, 770 nt
Filed under: uncultured bacterium
Lineage: Bacteria
Description: bacterial SSU rRNA
Rfam family: Bacterial small subunit ribosomal RNA
Source: RNAcentral
GGGCAACCCUGGUGGCGAGUGGCGGACGGGUGAGUAAAGCAUCGGAACGUAUCCUGGAGUGGGGGAUAACGUAGCGAAAGUUACGCUAAUACCGCAUAUUCUGUGAGCAGGAAAGCAGGGGAUCGCAAGACCUUGCGCUCUGGGAGCGGCCGAUGUCGGAUUAGCUAGUUGGUGGGGUAAAGGCCUACCAAGGCGACGAUCCGUAGCGGGUCUGAGAGGAUGAUCCGCCACACUGGGACUGAGACACGGCUCAGACUCCUACGGGAGGCAGCAGUGGGGAAUUUUGGACAAUGGGCGCAAGCCUGAUCCAGCCAUGCCGCGUGAGUGAAGAAGGCCUUCGGGUUGUAAAGCUCUUUCGGCGGGGAAGAAAUUGCACGGGUUAAUACCCUGUGUAGAUGACGGUACCCGAAUAAGAAGCACCGGCUAACUACGUGCCAGCAGCCGCGGUAAUACGUAGGGUGCGAGCGUUAAUCGGAAUUACUGGGCGUAAAGCGUGCGCAGGCGGCUUGGUAAGUCAGAUGUGAAAUCCCCGGGCUCAACCUGGGAACUGCAUUUGAGACUGCCAGGCUGGAGUUUGGCAGAGGGGGGUGGAAUUCCACGUGUAGCAGUGAAAUGCGUAGAGAUGUGGAGGAACACCGAUGGCGAAGGCAGCCCCCUGGGCCAAUACUGACGCUCAUGCACGAAAGCGUGGGGAGCAAACAGGAUUAGAUACCCUGGUAGUCCACGCCCUANACGAUGUCAACUAGGUGUUGGGAGGGUUAAACCUUUUA